CACUACAGACACCCAGCCACCUGGGGCCACCUGGCGCCUUGGCUUCUCCUCUCCUGAGCUCACCUCACCUCUAUCUCCUCUCCUUCCUCCCCCACCUGCCACCCGGGGUGCAGGGCAGGGGAAGCUAGCACUUAUCAAGACAAAGAACAAAAGUCGUGGGGGCAAGAAGCCAAGAGCCAUCUCUAUUCUGGGGUCCCCAACUGCUGACCAAACUCCAGUCCAGGCAGCCACCUGGCCUGAGACUGGCCUGGCUUUGCCUUUUCCUUUGGCGAGACCCAAGGGAAGGAGCCCUAGGCAGCUGGGACCUACUAGGCCAUCCUGAAGCCCCCAGCUCACUACCAAGGAAUCUCUGUUCCUAUCUGAGAGAACCACCUCUGUCUGAAGCUGGAAUCUGAUUCUUGUUGGUGUCAACAACUGAAACCAGGCAGGAGGUAGCUUCAUAUUUCUGUUCUCUGAAGUAGGACGUGACUGUGACACUUGCCAGCGAGAUGUGAGCAGAAGAAACAAGUAGUGCCGGCCCCAGUCCGAAGCUUUGAGACUAGUCGGCUUCAACAGGAGACAAUGAGCCCAGAAGCCACUGGCUCAGGACGGCUUUGAUGACUGUGAUCAUCCAGUACUCUAGAUCCCUGGGUUAAGCUUACUAAGAGCCAAGAAAAGUUCCAUUGCUCUCAAAGAACCCACAUCAAAAGGACACUAUCAACAGAGUGGAAAGGCAACCCACCAUAAAUCAUUGAGCCGCUGGUAAGAAUACAACAGCCCGACAUCAGAAAACAGACACCUUCACCCGAGGACUUGAACAGACACUUCAGAGAAAUGAUCCAGUGACCAGUGCAACCAUGGAAAGACUAGCAUCACUGGGCACUGGAGAAAAGCAAAACAAAAGCCACCAAAAGUAGCCGCGCGAUAGUGACAUAAGCCUUUAAUCCCAGCACUCAGGAGGCAGAGACAGGUGGAGCUCUGUGAGUUUGAGGCCAGCCUGGUCUACAGAGUGAGUUCCAGGACAGGCCCCAAAGUUAUAGAGAAAUCCUUUCUCCAAAAACAAUAAAAUAAAAACAAAAAUGAACCAAAAACUCCCACCAACAGUAAGAAAGUCAGGUGUACUGGUGCAAGCCUACAAUCCCAGAACUCAUAGGCAGAGGCAGGAGGAUCUCAAGUUACUACCAGCCUGGAUUACAUACCCAUACUCUGCCUCAAAACCCGACCCAAGCCAGGCAUAGGUGGCGCACACCUUUAAUCCCAGCAAUCAGGAGGCAGAGGCCAGGGAUCUCUAUGAGUUUGAGGCCAGCUUAGUCUACAUAGUGAGUUCCGGCCUACCUGGCUUGUGAGGUGUUAGAGACAUGGAAAUCCCUGUGCUCUACUGUUGAGAAUAUAAACUAGUGUAGCCUCUGUGGGAAGCAGUGUGGCGUUAUUCAAACAUCUCUUAGAGUUUGGUCGUAAUCACUCCCCCUCCGACACACUUCCUGCCCCCACUCCUCUUCCUACUCACCCUUCCUGUCUUCUUAACUAGCCCCCCUUUCCGCUUUCAUACCGUGUGUGUGUGUGUGUGUGUGUGUGUGUGAGAUCCCCAGAGGUCAUGAGGGCCGUUUACAGAAGUGUGAGCACCUCACCAGGGUACACUAUCCUGAAGAAAAUGCCUCUCUGUCCUCCAUCAACCAGUUUGACUUCAAACAUGUCCUUACAGGGAAGUGAGACCUCCGAACUCUUCCUCUUGUUUGUCUUUCGAGACGGGGUCUCUAGCUCUCUGAGUAGGCAAGGAUAACCUCGGGCUCCCCAUUUCCCUGCUUCCAUCUCCUGACUUUACAAGUGGGUUCUACUGUUAUUAUUAUUUAUUUUGUGUGCAUUGGUGUUUGUGUGAGGUGUCGGGUCUCGGAGUUACAGACAGUAGUUGACUGCCAUGUGGGUGCUGGGAAUUGAACUUGGGUCCUCUGGAAGGGUCAUCAGCACUCUUAAUCAGUGAUCCAUCUCUCCAGCUCCUACACCUACAAGUAGAUUUUUUUUUUUUGAGACAGGGUUUCUCUGUAGGUUUGAAGCCUAUCCUGGAACUAGCUCUUGUAGACCAGGCAGGCCUUGAACUCACAGAGAUCUGCCUGUCUCUGCUUCCUGAGUGCUGAAUGUGCCACACUGCCCAGCAUAAGUGGAUUCUUAUAUGGUAUGGGGGAUCAAGUCUAGGGCUUCAUGUAUGUUAGCUGAACUAGACGAGUGUGUGUGUGUGUGUGUGUGUGUAUUUUGUUUGUUUUUGUUUUUUGAAACAGGAUUUCUCUGUGUAACAUCCCAGGCUGUCCUGGAACUCAGGAACUCACUUUGUAGACCAGGCUGGCCUCAAACUCAGAGAUCCAUCUGCCUCUGUCUCCCAAGUGCUGGGAUUAGAGGUGUGCACCACUACCACCUGGCUUCAGACUCGUAUGUUAUUGAUUGAUUUUUAUUUUAAAUGGUCACCUGUAGCCCAGGCUAUCAUCAAACUGCCUAUAUAGAUGAGGAUGACUUUGAGUUUUGUGUGAUUAGGUUUCAAAGUUGCUCACUUGAGGAAUUGUAUUAUAGCCUUAAGGGAUGUGGGAAGAUCCAUCCCAUAUGUAGGUGGCACUUUCUGGUAGCAUCCUAGAAAAAAAGGGCAUGGCAGAAGAAAGAGCCUUUGCUAACUUGGCCCCUGGCUCUCUUAGCCUUCCUCUUGCCGAGUUAACUUUCCCUGUUGUUGAAGCUGAGCCCUCCACAGACCUUAGGAUCAGCAUUUCCGCACAUCCACGUGAUGAAGGAACCCUCCAGCGGUUGGCACUCAACUGGGACUGCUGAGGCUCCCAGCCUCAGGAACUGAGCAACUUCUGGAUCCUGCACCUCUUUAGUGUGAGACAGCCACUGUGGAAGCACCCCAACUGCUGACACACCCCACUUCUAGGACAAGGCACCUCCCAGAGCCUCAGCCUCUCGGGCGGUAUUAUUUCAGUGUCAACUGAUCUAAUCAAUUACACAUUUAUUUUCUCCUAUCAGCUCUGCUCUGCUGGAGAACCCUGACUCAUUAAUGAAUGCACUCCAGGUCCUCCUGCCACCAGCAAACAAGUACUUCCAUGUCCAAUCUCAUUCACCCUCAUCGAGAAUGUUUUAAACAUGGUUACCCAGCCUAGGAUAGUGUGCUGGUUGUUUUUCGUCCACUGGGCACAAACCUAGACAUGUCUGGGAAGAAGGAGUCUUAACUGAGAAAAUGCCUCUGUGAGAUUGGCUUGUAGAAAAAUUUAUGGGUAGUGCUUUGAUUAAGGAUUGAUGUGGGCAAGUCCAGCUCACUGUGAGUGGUACCAACCCUGAGCAGUUGCCUGAAUGGUAUAAGAAGAAGCAGUCUGAGCAAGCCAUGAGGAGUAAGCCAGUAAGCAGCACUCCUCCAUGGCCUCUGCUUUGGUUCCUGCCUCCAGGUUCCUGCCUUUGGUUCCUGCCCUGACUUCCCUCGGUGAUGGGGUGUGAUCUGUGAAUUAUAAGAUGAAAUAAACCCUUUCCU
Long non-coding RNA from Alexandromys fortis (reed vole), 3481 nucleotides. RefSeq lists it as uncharacterized. NCBI's taxonomy places the organism in Eukaryota, Metazoa, Chordata, Mammalia, Rodentia, Cricetidae. The transcript is spliced from 4 exons. The record is from RefSeq and is a predicted model, not a curated record.